Molecule: ribosomal RNA, 216 nt
Filed under: uncultured soil bacterium
Lineage: Bacteria
Description: partial 16S ribosomal RNA
Rfam family: Bacterial small subunit ribosomal RNA
Source: RNAcentral
AGGACGAACGCUGGCGGCGUGCUUAACACAUGCAAGUCGAGCGGAAAGGCCUUUCGGGGUACUCGAGCGGCGAACGGGUGAGUAACACGUGAGUAAUCUGCCCAUCGCUUCAGGAUAGCCAUCGGAAACGGUGAUUAAUACUGGAUAUGACAUUCCUUCGCAUGUUGGGGUGUGGUAAAGUUUUUUCGGCGGUGGAUGUGCUCGCGGCCUAUCAGC